This 76-nucleotide transfer RNA is filed under the name uncultured archaeon. RNAcentral describes it as "tRNA-Arg(gcg)". It matches the Rfam family "tRNA". Rfam says of the family: Transfer RNA (tRNA) molecules are approximately 80 nucleotides in length. Their secondary structure includes four short double-helical elements and three loops (D, anti-codon, and T loops). The record is from RNAcentral.
UGCCCUCGUAGUUUAACCUGGACAGAAUGCGGCCCUGCGGAGGCUGUGAUUUGGGUUCAAAUCCCAGCGAGGGCGA